This 262-nucleotide ribosomal RNA is filed under the name Escherichia coli. RNAcentral describes it as "partial 23S ribosomal RNA". It matches the Rfam family "Bacterial large subunit ribosomal RNA", at positions 1085 to 1345 of the family's 2925-position model. The record is from RNAcentral. RNAcentral also lists the same sequence under 3 other names. Lineage: Bacteria; Pseudomonadati; Pseudomonadota; Gammaproteobacteria; Enterobacterales; Enterobacteriaceae.
CCAGACAGCCAGGAUGUUGGCUUAGAAGCAGCCAUCAUUUAAAGAAAGCGUAAUAGCUCACUGGUCGAGUCGGCCUGCGCGGAAGAUGUAACGGGGCUAAACCAUGCACCGAAGCUGCGGCAGCGACGCUUAUGCGUUGUUGGGUAGGGGAGCGUUCUGUAAGCCUGCGAAGGUGGCCUGUGAGGGUUGCUGGAGGUAUCAGAAGUGCGAAUGCUGACAUAAGUAACGAUAAAGCGGGUGAAAAGCCCGCUCGCCGGAAGAC